GGCUCAGAACGAACGCUGGCGGCGUGCCUAACACAUGCAAGUCGAGCGCGAAAGUCCCUUUCGGGGGGCAAGUAGAGCGGCGGACGGGUGAGUAAUACAUGGAUAAUCUUCCUUCGAGCCCGGGAUAACACUGCGAAAGUGGUGCUAAUACCGGAUAAGACCACGUCACUCAGGUGAUGCGGGAAAAGGUGGCUUUGUUUUCGGAUGAGGCUAUCACUUGUUGAUGAGUCCAUGGCCUAUCAGCUUGUUGGUGAGGUAAAGGCUCACCAAGGCUAUGACGGGUAGCUGGUCUGAGAGGACGACCAGCCACACUGGGACUGAGACACGGCCCAGACUCCUACGGGAGGCAGCAGUGGGGAAUAUUGGGCAAUGGGCGAAAGCCUGACCCAGCGACGCCGUGUGGGCGAUGAAGGCCUUCGGGUUGUAAAGCCCUGUUGGGUGGAAAGAAGGACCUGUUGACGAAUAAUCUUCAGGUCUUGACGGUACCACCAGAGGAAGCACCGGCUAACUCCGUGCCAGCAGCCGCGGUAAUACGGAGGGUGCAAGCGUUGUUCGGAAUUACUGGGCGUAAAGGGCGCGUAGGUGGUUGUGUAAGUCGGAUGUGAAAUCCCCAGGCUCAACUUGGGAACUGCAUCUGAUACUGCAUGACUAGAGUACUGCAGAGGGAAACGGAAUUCCUGGUGUAGAGGUGAAAUUCGUAGAUAUCAGGAGGAACACCGGUGGCGAAGGCGGUUUCCUGGGCAGAUACUGACACUGAGGCGCGAAAGCGUGGGUAGCAAACAGGAUUAGAUACCCUGGUAGUCCACGCUGUAAACGGUGAGUGCUGGGUGUGGGAGGUGUAAUGCCUUCUGUGCCGAAGCUAACGCGUUAAGCACUCCGCCGGGGGAGUACGG
This 893-nucleotide ribosomal RNA is filed under the name uncultured bacterium. RNAcentral's name for it is "bacterial SSU rRNA". It matches the Rfam family "Bacterial small subunit ribosomal RNA", at positions 21 to 885 of the family's 1533-position model. The record is from RNAcentral.